Molecule: ribosomal RNA, 380 nt
Filed under: uncultured eukaryote
Lineage: Eukaryota
Description: partial 18S ribosomal RNA
Rfam family: Eukaryotic small subunit ribosomal RNA
Source: RNAcentral
CAAUAGCGUAUAUUAAAGUUGUUGCAGUUAGAACGCUCGUAGUCGGAUUUCGGGGCGGGCCGACCGGUCUGCCGAUGGGUAUGCACUGGUCGGCGCGUCCUUCCUUCCGGAGACCGUUCCUACUCUUAACUGAGCGGGGGCGGGAGACGGAUCGUUUACUUUGAAAAAAUCAGAGUGUUUCAAGCAGGCAGCUCGCUCUUGCAUGGAUUAGCAUGGGAUAAUGAAAUAGGACUUUGGUGCUAUUUUGUUGGUUUCGAACACCGAAGUAAUGAUUAAAAGGGACAGUCAGGGGCACUCGUAUUCCGCCGAGAGAGGUGAAAUUCUCAGACCAGCGGAAGACGAACUACUGCGAAANCANNNGCCAGGGAUGUUUUCACNGA